UGGGGAAUUUUGGACAAUGGGCGAAAGCCUGAUCCAGCAAUGCCGCGUGUGUGAAGAAGGCCUUCGGGUUGUAAAGCGCUUUUGUCCGGAAAGAAAAAGCUUUGGUUAAUACGAGGGGUCCAUGACGGUACCGGAAGAAUAAGCACCGGCUAACUACGUGCCAGCAGCCGCGGUAAUACGUAGGGUGCAAGCGUUAAUCGGAAUUACUGGGCGUAAAGCGUGCGCAGGCGGUUGUGCAAGACCGAUGUGAAAUCCCCGGGCUCAACCUGGGAAUUGCAUUGGUGACUGCACGGCUAGAGUGCGUCAGAGGGGGGUGGAAUUCCACGUGUAGCAGUGAAAUGCGUAGA
Molecule: ribosomal RNA, 347 nt
Filed under: uncultured bacterium
Lineage: Bacteria
Description: bacterial SSU rRNA
Rfam family: Bacterial small subunit ribosomal RNA
Source: RNAcentral